AAGUUUAUAUCUGUAUACACACAAAUAUAUAUGCGUGUAUUAGACAGAUACAGAAAUAAACCUGUCAUAUUUGUAGAUAAAAAUCUGUUAUAUACACACACAAAUAUAUACGUGUGUGUAUGAUAUAGAUACAAGUGUAAACCUGUUAUCUAGAAGCCUGUUCCUAUAUCAAUACGGGGGGCAGACAGGACCCCGUUGCAUGUGCGUGCACACACACAGGCACGUGUGUUAUAGGGCCGCAGCCCAGGCUCUUCACUACCCGGACUCCGCUGUACGUAUUUCGUGUGUCUGUACCGGUGUGUACGACUAUAUCGGUACAGACGCAGGGCACGUUACUCACUGGGUGCGCGGGUGCGGACGCCGCCGAGACACCGGGAUUUGCAAACCCAAUCCGAUCGCGAACGGUUCCCGGCCCCUCGCCUGUCGCCCGCGACAUUUGCCCAGAAACCCGCGGCUGGCCGCGAGCAGCCCCGCCGGGAGAGCGAUCCGGGCCGCGGGAGUCGCUCGCUGCUUUGCCCCGGCGCAGCGCUGCGCUCGUUGCAGCCCGCAGCCGCCCCCGCCCCGGGGCUUUCCCGCCGCGCAGCCGGGCCUUGCCCCCGGGCGCUGGCGCGGGAGGAUCCGCGCAAGCCACGAAGGCUGGGGCUCCGCUUCCCACCCGCGGGCCGGACCUACCGCGGAGCCGCCGGUGCGUGGGGCUCGGCCCGCGGCGGCGCCUCGACGUGGGCCGGUGCCUGAGCCCCCGCUGCUUGUCUCGUCCGCAGAGUCUGCAGGGCCUGACGGGGACGCCGCUGGUGGCCGGCAGUCCGAUCCGCCACGAGAGCGCGGUGCAGGGCAGCGCCGUGGAGGUGCAGACCUACCAGCCGCCCUGGAAAGCGCUCAGCGACUUCGCGCUGCAGAGCGACCUGGACCAGCCCGCCUUCCAGCAGCUGGUCUCCUUCUCCGAAUCCGGCUCCUUGGGCAACUCCUCCGGCAGCGAUGUGACCUCCCUGUCCUCGCAGCUACCCGACACCCCCAACAGCAUGGUGCCCAGCCCGGUGGAGACGUGAGGCGAGGCUCUCUUCGCGGACUUGGACUUUCGCAUGCUCCUGCUCCCUGCAUGAGACACGCCCGGCCUCCGGCCCCGAGCGCCAGACGAGCUCGGGUUUUAACUUAUUGUUAUUUAAAAACCAAGAGCAACAGCGAAACAAAGCGCGCCCCGACGGCCAGCACGCCCCAGGACCCGGGCUGCGGAUUUUCAUGUUGAUGUUUCGUUUGUUCGUUUUGUCUUUUUUUUGCAAAGCAAAAAACUGUCCAAACGCCGGUGGAUGCCCGAGAACGAGCCCCCAGGCCCUGCCCGAGCGGGCAGGCGAUUUAUCGUUUUGUCUUUUGGGAACAAAAUCUAACGGGGAGCAGGGGGGCUUGUAUCUUCCUCGGGGCGGGGCGGGACCAGCACCAUCCCUCGGCCCGUGUCUGCUCGGACCAGCCCCUGCCCCGGGACCACGGGCACCCCGACCUGCCUGGGGGCGAGGAGGCUCCCCGCAUGACUGCCGGACGCGGGCGGGGAGGAGGGCGGGCGGGACGCGCUGUCGGACAAGCCUGUAACCAGCCGCACUAAGUUAUUGUUAUUUAUUGGCGGAGCCGCCGCCGCCGGGGUUGGCUUGUGAUGAGCGGAAUAAAACAGCAGCAGCAGCAGCA
Molecule: long non-coding RNA, 1674 nt
Filed under: Crocodylus porosus (Australian saltwater crocodile)
Lineage: Eukaryota; Metazoa; Chordata; Crocodylia; Crocodylidae
Description: lncRNA (ENSCPRG00005008147.1)
Source: RNAcentral